Molecule: ribosomal RNA, 532 nt
Filed under: bacterium Ag-c19
Lineage: Bacteria
Description: bacterial SSU rRNA
Rfam family: Bacterial small subunit ribosomal RNA
Source: RNAcentral
CCCCUAUGCACACUAGAGAUAGUGUCCUUCUUCGGAACAUUGGAGACAGGUGGUGCAUGGUUGUCGUCAGCUCGUGUCGUGAGAUGUUGGGUUAAGUCCCGCAACGAGCGCAACCCUUGACUUUAGUUGCCAGCAAGUAAGGUUGGGCACUCUAGAGUGACUGCCGGUGACAAACCGGAGGAAGGUGGGGAUGACGUCAAAUCAUCAUGCCCCUUAUGACCUGGGCUACACACGUACUACAAUGGCCGGUACAACGGGAAGCGAAGUCGCGAGAUGGAGCGAAUCCUAGAAAAGCCGGUCUCAGUUCGGAUUGCAGGCUGCAACUCGCCUGCAUGAAGUCGGAAUUGCUAGUAAUCGCGGAUCAGCAUGCCGCGGUGAAUACGUUCCCGGGUCUUGUACACACCGCCCGUCACACCACGAGAGUUUACAACACCCGAAGUCGGUGAGGUAACCCGAAAAGGAGCCAGCCGCCGAAGGUGGGGUAGACGAUUGGGGUGAAGUCGUAACAAGGUAGCCGUAGGUUUUUUGGGCA